This 406-nucleotide ribosomal RNA is filed under the name uncultured bacterium. Its description in RNAcentral is "partial 16S ribosomal RNA". It matches the Rfam family "Bacterial small subunit ribosomal RNA", at positions 30 to 526 of the family's 1533-position model. The record is from RNAcentral.
AUUGAACGCUGGCGGCAGGCCUAACACAUGCAAGUCGAACGAGUGGCGGACGGGUGAGUAAUGUCUGGGAAACUGCCUGAUGGAGGGGGAUAACUACUGGAAACGGUAGCUAAUACCGCAUACCAUCGGAUGUGCCCAGAUGGGAUUAGCUAGUAGGUGGGGUAAAGGAUUACGUAGGCGACGAUCCCUAGCGGGUCUGAGAGGAGGACCAGCCACACUGUAACUGAGACACGGUCCAUACUCCUACGGUAGGCAGCAGUGGGGAAUAUUGCACAAUGGGCGCAGGCCUGAUGCAGCCAUGCCGCGUGUAUGAAGAAGGCCUUCGGGUUGUAAAGUACUUUCAGCGGGGAGGCGUUACCCGCAGAAGAAGCACCGGCUAACUCCGUGCCAGCAGCCGCGGUAAUUC